RNAcentral lists this ribosomal RNA (159 nucleotides) under uncultured bacterium. RNAcentral describes it as "partial 16S rRNA". It matches the Rfam family "Bacterial small subunit ribosomal RNA", at positions 355 to 511 of the family's 1533-position model. The record is from RNAcentral.
UGGGGAAUAUUGCACAAUGGGCGCAAGCCUGAUGCAGCCAUGCCGCGUGUAUGAAGAAGGCCUGGUUGUAAGUACUUUCAGCGGGAGGAAGGCGUUGAGGUUAAUAACCUCAGCGAUUGACGUUACCCGCAGAAGAAGCACCGGCUAACUCCGUGCCAC